Molecule: long non-coding RNA, 970 nt
Filed under: Hordeum vulgare
Lineage: Eukaryota; Viridiplantae; Streptophyta; Magnoliopsida; Poales; Poaceae
Description: long non-coding RNA (HVUL_LNC010733)
Source: RNAcentral
CCAAAAAGAUAUAAAAGGCAUACAAAACAUCCAAAGUUUGACAAGAUAAUAGCAUGGAACCAUAAAAAAUUAUAGAUACGUUGGAGACGUAUCAGAGCGUCUCCUCUAGUGUGUGUAUCGUUGGUCACUUACCACGAAGGAGAUGGGCGCCCGACGAAUCCAAAGGGUAAAUGUCGAACAACCCCGACUAGGCAUUCCGUAAUCCGAGAGGAGGAGGCGGAGGCAGCAGCAGAGACGACGAGGGUGGCCGAGCUCAAGCGCAAGCAAGACCGUAUCGUCCGGCACUUGCAAGGCUACAUCGUCAUCUCCAAUUCCUCCUCCUUCGACGGGGCUGACUCCGACGACUCCUACGUCAACCCACCUCCUACUCCGGACGCCUACAACAUCGCCGAAGAUCGGAAAGGGCAAAGGCUCGACGAGGAAGUGGUGAAGCUCUCCCUCUCCUCUUAGAUAAUCUAGUAUCAGUAUGUAGUUAGAAUGUGCCUGAUAGUUGAAAUCUGUGAAUUAUGUCCUUUUUGGUGGUCUUUAUAUGAAUUAUGCCCGUUUGGAAUCAGUUUAUAUGUCUGUUUCCUGUUGAUUUUGAUCGUUUGAUGAUCUAUGCACUAGUUGCAUCAAUUUGUAUGGAUAUAUGAUACUGGAUAUGAGAUAUAUAGAGAGUGCCCGAUCAGUGUCCGCGAACAUGUCGGGACGCGUCUGCGAGCAUUUUGCAAGAUCCGACAGUAGAUGCUCUUAGGACAUCUCCAAAGCUAACCCAAAACUCCACCAAGCGUCCGCACCAAGCUGUCCGGACACCAAGAAGACAUCUAACGUUGUCUUGCAUUUGUCUGCAGACCAAAUCGUGUUUAUUUUUUCGCAAAUCAAGGGGUUUUGCGGGAGUCUAAACACCAAUCAUGUAUGACGCCGACACCCCCGCCCAACCUAAAACCUCCGGCCAACCUAAAACUGAGGCGACACGCAUUUGGAAUUGGCC